RNAcentral lists this ribosomal RNA (116 nucleotides) under Pteropus alecto (black flying fox). Lineage: Eukaryota; Metazoa; Chordata; Mammalia; Chiroptera; Pteropodidae. The record is from RNAcentral.
GUCUUCAGCCAUGCCACCCUGAGCAAGCUCGAUGUCUGAUCUCGGAAGCUAAGCAUGGCCAAGCCUGGUUAGUACUUGGACGGGAGACCACCUAGGAAGACCAUGUGCUGUAGGCA